GCCUAGUUAGCUUAGUUGGUAGUGAGCCUGCCUUGUAAGCGCUAGGCCGCGGGUUCGAUUCCCGCCCGGGGCG
Molecule: transfer RNA, 73 nt
Filed under: Diaphorina citri (Asian citrus psyllid)
Lineage: Eukaryota; Metazoa; Arthropoda; Insecta; Hemiptera; Psyllidae
Rfam family: tRNA
About the family: Transfer RNA (tRNA) molecules are approximately 80 nucleotides in length. Their secondary structure includes four short double-helical elements and three loops (D, anti-codon, and T loops).
Source: Rfam by way of RNAcentral